RNAcentral lists this ribosomal RNA (500 nucleotides) under uncultured Glomeromycotina. RNAcentral describes it as "partial small subunit ribosomal RNA". It matches the Rfam family "Eukaryotic small subunit ribosomal RNA", at positions 591 to 1092 of the family's 1831-position model. Lineage: Eukaryota; Fungi; Glomeromycota. The record is from RNAcentral.
CCAAUAGCGUAUAUUAAAGUUGUUGCAGUUAAAAAGCUCGUAGUUGAAUUUCGGGAUCAACAUGUCGGUCGUGCCUCUGGUACGUACUGGUAUCGUUGAUUUCUACCUUCUGACGAACCAUGAUGUCAUUAAUUUGGUGUCAUGGGGAAUCAGGACUGUUACUUUGAAAACAUUAGAGUGUUUAAAGCAGGCACACGCUUGAAUACAUUAGCAUGGAAUAAUGAAAUAGGACGUUUGACCCUAUUUUGUUGGUUUCUAGGAUCGACGUAAUGAUUAAUAGGGAUAGUUGGGGGCAUUAGUAUUCAAUUGUCAGAGGUGAAAUUCUUGGAUUUAUUGAAGACUAACUACUGUGAAAGCAUUUGCCAAGGAUGUUUUCAUUAAUCAAGAACGAAAGUUAGGGGAUCGAAGACGAUCAGAUACCGUCGUAGUCUUAACCAUAAACUAUGCCGACUAGGGAUCGGAUGAUGUUAAUUUUUUAAUGACUCAUUCGGCGCCUUACG